Salvia splendens (bonfire salvia) is the source of this 1565-nucleotide long non-coding RNA. RefSeq lists it as uncharacterized. The transcript has 10 exons. The record is from RefSeq and is a predicted model, not a curated record. NCBI's taxonomy places the organism in Eukaryota, Viridiplantae, Streptophyta, Magnoliopsida, Lamiales, Lamiaceae.
UUUCUUUGGGUCAUAAUAGUAGUGUUCUGUGUCAUGUAAGGGUACUGUAGGUAUAUAAAAUAUAAACAACUGCUUUCCGGUUUUUAAUAGCGGAUUAAUUGGGAUCAUUACUCCACACAUUAUUAAUCUGAUCGCGCCAUUCAAUUCGUCUCUCUCUCCCCAAAAUCUCAACUCAAAAACGCCCAAACCCUAGAAUCUGCUCUGAAAAACACACAAAUAUUCUUGCCAUCCGAAAAGCCCAAACCAUACAAAGCUCUACAAAUUAAUCAUCCCCUCCACUAUUUCAUCUUCGCCUGCACCAAAAAACGCCUCUGCGAGAAAAUCCGUUUCCGCUACCAAAAACCUAGUAAGAAUCCAAAACUCAACGAAGAAGGGGAAGAAAACUCUAAUUCAACCAUGGUCAACACAAGAGCUGGAUCCGCGUCUCAUGACGGAAAAGUUUAUCAAAGAACGACGUCGAAGAAAAAGCUACCAAUUAUCCCAAAAGCUCCGACAGGAAAUACGAUACCAAUUUCUGUCGAAAAUUCAACAGAACCCUCAACUGAAGCCAUUCCUGAUAUCCAUGACAUAAAUCAAGAUACGGGAACUCAUACAAAAAUCAUUCAAGCGUCUAAAGGGAAAGAGACGGAUAAACAAGUAUCCAAUUCUGGAAAAGGGUGAUCUCGCAAGAAGAAUCGGUUUGAAACAAGGAAAAAGAACUAACAUAAAUGGAGUACAGACAGGCCGGAGUAAACAAGUCUGUUUCGGAGAUUAGUAGCUUCACAGCUAUAGGAAGGAUCCAAAUCUCGGACACUGAAAAAACUGUUAUAAGUGUUAGUUCUGGAGCAGCUCUUUUGUGUGCAUCAAAGAGUGAGUACUAGGUCAACAACCCAAUAAUUGGUACAUCAUUUAACAGUAGUAGCAAUGCAUCACAUCUGACGGGUUUAGAAAAGGAAGGAUGUAUCAAUGUGGAAGAUAUUGUAAAAUCAGCCAUGGCCGACUACAUGGAAGGCGGUGGAGAUGAUGCUGCUGAUGAAUUUUAUUUGGAAGCUUCGGGAACGAAAUCAAUACCAAUUUUAGAUAAUAAGCUUAUAAGCAAGGAUGAAACUAAUGAUAAUGAACUCGAUGUGGAAGCCAUUGUACAGUCUGCAGUGGAAGCGUACAUGGAAUGUGAUGAUGCUGAUGAGGAUUUUGUCACACCUUUCGCUAAAAAGUCAGAACCAAAACUGGGCAAAGAAUUGGUCGUCUAUACAAACGAACAACUACAUGACAACCAGCAAAAAUUGAAGAUGAACAUUCGCCCUAAGGCAGACUUGAGAUGUUCUAAUGCAUUGCGUUCACCAUUUCUUGAGAGAGCAGUUACAGUGUCAUGCAAGCUUACUCCAGAUGAACGAGUUAUGUAUUACUGGUUGCUGACUAUGGAUCUCGCCAAAUGAUUAUGUCGUAACUUAGAUUAGUGGAUCAUUUUGUUCAUUUCAUCAAAGAUAGUAUUUCUCUUGUUUUUGAAUCAUGUUUUAUUCAGCAUGUGGAUGUCAUUGGUACAACACAUUGUUUCAUCUAUAAGCUGAUAAAAAAUUCCCUUAAAA